AUCACAUCUUAGAAUUUUAUGCAACUAAAGAAUUGGGAAAAAUAGAAAAGAGAAAGAAAAGCACUGAUGAAAUAAAUAAACAACAUUAACACAAGUACGGCAACUGACUUAUCUCAACAUUAACCACAUCCCCAUUUCCAUAUGUUUGAGAAUUUGAAGCCUAAACGACUGGCAUAAGCAGUGACUCAUCUCAACAUACGCCUUGAAUUCUAAUGAAAUUCUCAUCUCUUAAUUGUCUCUUUUAAUGGACAAACAUGACACUCCAUUUCCCAGUAUUUAGAUCCCAAAAAGCGUGACA
RNAcentral lists this unclassified non-coding RNA (298 nucleotides) under Hevea brasiliensis (rubber tree). Lineage: Eukaryota; Viridiplantae; Streptophyta; Magnoliopsida; Malpighiales; Euphorbiaceae. The record is from RNAcentral.